Molecule: unclassified non-coding RNA, 10013 nt
Filed under: Cotesia glomerata
Lineage: Eukaryota; Metazoa; Arthropoda; Insecta; Hymenoptera; Braconidae
Description: regulating synaptic membrane exocytosis protein 2, transcript variant X13
Source: RNAcentral
CGGUCUGUUGUAGGGCGAGCCAGUUUUCGCGCAUCCCUCGUCAACCCUCAAGAAGCCUACUCACUACAAACUAACAACGGUGUAUAAAACACACAACACACUAGCAUACAUACGAGUACCGUGGGACAGCGGGUAUGACACACUUCAGUGUCUGUAUUGAUAACGUGAUAGUCCACCGUUGCACUGAAAAAUAGUUUUAAUAAUUGUAAAACGCAAUUAACGUUAAUUAUCGAUCGAGCAUAUUCGUGGAAAUUAAUUAAUAAGUACUAGUGUAAUCGGUGGUGUAAUUUAUAGAUAGACACAUCCAUUGUAUCUCUGUUGCCUUGAAAGCUCCGACAGAACUCAACAAAAUCAAUUGAUUAAAGAGCUGCAUUAAAACCAACAAAUGCCAAUGUGUAAAUAGUAAAAAUCAAUGUGAGACAUUAAAUGUUAACGUUUGUUUGAGGUAAAAAAGUUAUAAGGGUGGCGCUGGAAUAUUAUUUCACACCUUAACCGAAAAAGUUAAUUAUAACUCACUAAUAAUUAUUUAUAAUUCUAAUUAUAUUCACAAUCAUAAUCCACAAGUACAAGCUGAGAGAUCUUCAACAAACGCCAGUAAAUACUGCUUUGCAGUGAUAUAUAUGUCAUGUGUGGAUUUUUAUAUAUUUUUCCGCGACAUGAGUGUUGUCAUUAAAGUGAAGCUACUCGAGCUAACACGACAAGAUGAGUUGAAUUCACAAAAGCUCACAAAGCAAAGGUCACUUUAUAAAAGCUUUAUGAAUCGCUUGUAAGAUUUUUUUCUCUGGUUGAUUAUUAAUUGAUAUUAUAUUUAAGUGCUGUGAAAAUAUGAAUUUGACUUUUGGAAAUUUUAGGUAUUAUUUUCGUUUGGAGAACAGUUGAUAAUUCUUGAACCAUUAUUUGGAUAUGCAUAUGUGAGGUGCAUGUAUAUCGGGUAAUAGUAAUGGCGAAACACCUGUUUCAGUACGCCAGUGACCUCUUUUCACAAGAAACAAACUUGGAAUUUAAUUACAAGAAAUAUUAUUUUUAUUGUCGGCUAUCAUGAUAUGGAAUUAUAUUUUAUUAUCGGGGUUAGCUCGAAAAACUUUAAAUAAUGCGAAAUAAAUCUGGAUCGAACAAGCCUCAGUGAUCAUGAGGGAUGCUAAUAGUGAUGAAAUAAAUUUACAUGUUGAUAAUUAUGAUAAUAAAAAUAAUAAUUAUGGUGAAGACAAUGACUAUUGCUGGUGGUGCUGGAUAACUUAUUAUUUGCAGUAUUUUAAAUCCAUCCUACUGAACAACGAUACUGUCGAUUACAAGCACGGCUCUUUAAUACGCUGUGCAGACCAAAAUCACUUAUUGAUUUGUAAUUAUAAUUAUAAUAAUAGUAGUAAUAGUAAUAAUUAUUCGAGUGAUAAGUUUUACCGUAAAUGGAAUCGCUGGAGGCGUCAAAGUGAAUUUGUUACUUUAUAUGAUAAUUACGAUGACAGUGACAAUACCCAAGGAUCUAAUUUAGUGACUUUAGAAUUCGGAGUUAGGUUAAAUUGUACGCUGCAUUGGGCACUCGGUGGCGGAUGACUCGGGCAGGAGCACCUUUUUCCGUAGAAUUAGACCUUUUUUGGAGGUUCGGUCAUGACCAAAGUGGAAACGAUGAUGGUAAUGAUAAUGAUAAUGAUGAUGAAGAUGAUAAUGAUGAUGAUGGUGGCACUGUGAGGAGGCUUUGUGCUUUGGGGCAUUCAUUGGUAACGAUUACAGUGACUCGGAAAAAUCGGUGCGCUUGUAGUAGUUGUUGUUUCUGUGGGUUUAUGUUCGGUUUCUGUUCACCGGGAUUCCCAGUGUAGGGAUUGUAGUGAUGGCGGACUUACCUGAUAUGUCACACCUCACUCCCGAGGAGAGGCGCAUCAUUGAAGAGGUUAUGAUGCGACAGAAGCAGGAAGAGGAUCGGGAGAAUGAAAUCAUGAGACGAAAGCAAGACGAAGUGCAAAUUCUAGAAGAAACGAUACGUGCCCGAUCUGAAAAACACAAGAAAGCAGGCAUUGAGCUGGACGCGACAUGUGACAUAUGCAUGAAGACUAAGUUUGCGGAUGGUGUUGGUCACAUCUGCAACUACUGCAACAUCCGGUGUUGUGCGCGUUGUGGUGGCAAAGUCACGCUUAGAUCUAACAAGGUGAUAUGGGUGUGCAUAGUGUGUCGUAAAAAGCAAGAACUUCUGUCAAAAACCGGGCAGUGGAUGGUGAAAACCGGGCUGGGGGCCGCGGACCAGGCGAUGAUGAGAAGGAUGCAGGAGGACUUGCAGAAUGAAGGACCACCUGGGCGUACAGAGUUGACUCAAGACAAACGCCCGAAACUAGAACGCGCCCACAGCGCCGCUGAAAAGGAAAACCUUCCAUUGUUGCAACGUAGCGGAAGUGCACUUAGACGGCAGUAUUCCCAACAAGAACAGAUUCCAAAUCGUCGAUUGUCAACAAGUGACAGCGGCGUAGAAAUGUCAGUAUCACCUCACUCGCGUAGUCUGCCAACACCUCACGUGGUCGUGGGGUCAUACCCUCAACAAACACCUCGUCACCCAGCGGCCUUUCCCGAAGACGACCCGAACAUCUACCGAGGGGAGUUGGACGGUUUGAUGAAACAGCACGCCCAAAUGUAUCAACGAUCUCGCCAAAUUUAUCAGGAGCAGAAUUCAAACAUGCCGAUGACUUACGGUCACUCGGGUGUUGACAACUCGCGAGUGCAUCAAUCACAGCAGCAUCAAAUUCACCAGGUACAAGGGAAACAUCUGUCGCAAGCAAUCCCACCAACUGGUCAAAAUACCGGGCAAUUACACCAGCAGCGCAGUUUCAGCAGCAGUGAGGAGGAACGAAGCACACCUGAGUGUGCAAGCGAUGAACCUGAUGAGUCGGAAAAGGGUGAAAAGCGAGCGCCAAUAGUCGCGAGCCCAAGGAGCCCCAGGAGUAAAGCUGGUGACCGAAUUUACCGGCAAGCGAUGCUCGACGAGAAGAUGAAGAAAUUUCUCGCGCAAUCUCAGGCGAGCAGCGACGGCCAGAAAAUAAUAGUCCACAUGAUUCUCCGUAAAUCCGCUGGACCUGGAAGUAUAUUGGGCCUUAAAGUUGCCGGCGGACAAUUAUUGGAUGACGGUAGAAUAGGUGCUGUGAUUGAAAAAGUCAAAGAGGGCACACCCGCGGCUGUUGAUGGUCAAUUGAGACCAGGGGACGAAGUGAUCGAUUGGAACGGGCACUGCCUGCAAGGGAAAAGUUCCCAAGAAGUAGCGAACAUAAUCGCGGAGUCGCGGGACGAAAAUCAAGUGGAACUAAUUGUCGGGAAAAACCACCCCGACGCAACAAAUAAUUCAAUAACCUGUAGUAAUUUACCCUCUGCAACAACGACGUCAAUGGUACCACAGAGACGCAUCGCUGCGCAAGCCCAGUGGCGGCAAACCCACGAAACCAUGCCUAUUUUGCAGCAGCCUCAUCACAGAGGUCUUAAGAAAUGUAUAUUAUGGGAAUUAUACGAUGUGAGGAGAGAAAAACCAUCAGUGCUAGUAACAUCACCGGGAUCACCGGAUCUACACGGGCAGAGUCGUAACAGACAUCCCCGUUAUCCAACGACAAUAGCGAAUGUUGGUGGCAAGUUACAAGUUAAGUUAGAUUUCAAUCCAGCGUGUAACAGACUGAGUGUUACCGUUUUUCGUGCUACUGAAUUAACGCCGAGGAGUAAUGGGCAACCACGAAAUCCUUACGCCAAAGUUUAUCUUCUUCCUGACAGAAACGAAAUGUCUAAGAGACGAACGAAAACCUUGGCAAACACAAACGACCCCAAGUGGAACGAAACAUUCGACUACAACAUAAGAAAGUCGGAACUGAAACGCAAGUGGUUAGAGGUGUCAGUGUGGGAUUUUACAAUUCACGAGGCCAAUGACUUUUUAGGAGAGGCCAUUUUAGAGCUCAACAAUUUAAACGAAAAAUCACCGUGGCUGUGGCAGAAUUUGGUACCGCAUGAAGAACGUCGACCAAUUGGACAAUAUCACGAGCCAUACGAUGACAUAGCGAUAACUCCAGUUGAUUACCAUCUUAGUCCACCCUCGACGGUAUCCCGUCUGAGUGAUUCGGAUACGUCGGAGUACGACAUCACCGAUUGCGACAUACCACGGGAUCAGAGACGAACCGCAGAUGGUGCCAGCAUCAGCAGCCUCGGCAGUUCAUCUAGGUUUCAUAAUAUGCCGUCAAAUUAUAAGCGCCACUAUUCUAGCCCGCCACCGGAGAGAGAGUAUGGAAGUCUGGACAAUGAACACCGCAGUCGGCGGGACAUGUCGUCGACGGGUAGUAAGAGAGCUGCAUUGAUGAUUUCACGCGACCAGCCAGUCUCUAUAUCUGGCUAUCCACAAUGGAGAAAAGACGAACCAACAGCCAGAAGUAUGAUAGGUCAUAGGUCUCACAGUGCAGCGCCUAUGGACUCGCCUUACCUGCGUUAUCGAGGAAGAUCACAAAGUCCGACCGGCCAUCGUUCGUUAUCGCCGCCUGAUCACAGAUCGAUACCUUACACCCACGGAUACAUGCCUACAAGAUUUGGGUCGAGAUCAGCGACCGCAACGCCAACGGGAUCACCUAAAAAACGGCAGUUACCACAAACGCCGUUGUUAAAAGAACGGAUGAUGACGCAGGAUGAUGAAAGACAUCGAUUAAUGAGAUAUCCACACAGACUUGUUCAUACUACUUAUCGAAGCACGGGGAUAGGAGGCUGGGAAAGACAUUACAGCGGACGAUCAGACUCGGAUCUGCUGUCAUCAAUAGGUCACGAUCCACCAUCUCUACCCCACGCCCACCGACUCCACCACAGAACACGUCGCGGGCACCUAAGCCCCGACAAAGACGUCCUCGGGGACUUCGGGGACUCCGACAUGGAGAGCAUUAUUUCUGUCGCGAGUAGCGCUUUUAGCACUCAGUCAGAACGACCCCGCGGAUCCCGGGCAUUGAUACCGACAGUUAAAAACAUAUUGGUACCCAGUGUCAUAUCCCAUUUGCCUUUACCACCCUUAUUUAUUAGGCGCACUAGGCGUAAGCACAAAAUAAAGCAACCUAUCAGCAACAUAAUCACUACAACUAAUAAUAACAACAACAAUAGCAUCACCAACAAAAACAAAGCUAGUAAUAACAAUCUUAACAAUAAAAACAACCGCAUUAGCAUAAGUAAAGAAUGUAAUCAUUAUCAUCCAAUUAGUUAUAGUAUUAAGACCUGGAAACCCCCAUCAAAUAAGUAUCAUAAUCCCGCCACAUUCAUAUCUGAUACCACCACAGUAAAACCUAAAACCACGACCAAUACCUCAACCCUAACCCAAAAUCAUCUCCUCGUACGGAGCAAAUCCGCAGUUGUACGCUCGAUGCACAGAAAACCGCGUGUGCCUAUCGUGAGAUCGCAGACUGUCGACGACAACCUAUUCCGGUACAAUAUCAGCCCCAGCAACGCUACCAGCAGCACCAGUAACUUUAUCAAAGACUUUUGCAUCGAAAAGCCUUCUAAUUCCGCCGAUAACAUCUGCUGCUACUAUGAUUACGAUAGUGGGGCCAGAAAUCGGCCCUACUUUCGUUACACCUCCAAGUAUCCGAACCACGAUGACUUCUUCGUCGAUCUAAGAGGCAGAUCCAAAGUAACUCAAGUGCCUAGGCGUGCCAAAAGUGUCGAAUACGAGUCAGUCUCCAGCAACAUCUUCAGCGACGACAGCCUUAGAACCGCUCGACGGAAAGUAAAGCGAAAUCUAACUGUCACUGGAGACAAACUGCCGUACAUGAACGACCAGAGCAAGUCUUACUACGAUUCAACUGGCGACAGCUCCAAGGCCUCUGAAAGUGUCGUUGAUUCUGAUCAAGACUUCAACAACGAUUUACGCGUAAGAUAUAACGCGCGAUACACGUCCGAUCUCUAUUCGGUGUACCUAGACGAGCACAAUGAUGACAAUUUGGAUAAUGAUCACCAAAUUGACAGUAUCAUCGACGCCGUAGAAGCUAGCAGUGAGUACGAAAGACACUUGUACAAAAGACGCCUGGAUAGCCAGUUGAGUCGAGCUAAAUCCGAUGACAAUCAUUACGGGAUUGACAAUGAGCACAUUUACUGCAGCAUUGACAGCAAUCCCGAGUGUCAUUACGCAAGCGUUAAUGAUUAUGAUAGUAGUAGAUUAGGAACUAAAGUGCCAAAUAAUUAUUGUGAUAAGUUAGUUACUAAUGAUGAGUAUUCUCGUGAUAGUUCUGAUGAUCGGUUGCGUCCAGCCAGAAGAACCAAAAGCACUGAUUCGUAUUUAGAAGAUAGUUAUGAUUAUCAUCAUGGUAGCUACGAAGACUGCCGUGGUAGAUCGCGUAGUUUUGCCGGAAGAACCGAAAGGGAGCCCUUUAUUUCCUUCGAAGCUGCUUAUGAGGAAUUCGCCCCUCAUGAGCGGAAGAAUGUUAAAGUUUUGGAGAAAGCGGAGUCCUCACCCACUCUGCAUGAAGAUGACCAGUCGAUGGCCGAGUGGGAAGUCUCCCAGUCGAGGAGAUUGUCCAGAAGGAGGCGUAACAGCAGUUGUCCAGAAGCUCGCGAUAUCAGGAACCUUGAAAGUCCUUUGACCGAGGCGGUUAGCAUGAACUUCUUCAUGGGUUCGGAUGAUGACUUUGGAUCGACGGAGACAGUUGUGGCUCCGGAUUAUCGGAAGGACUCGAGAAAGGAAGGGAGUUCUGGAGGAAAGAUCAGGAGAAAUGACGAUGAUCGUCAUCGUGAAGAGUAUUUCAGAGGUCCUGUUAGGACUGAUCGCUCCGGGUCGUACCCUGGACCAGCUAGACGUGGGUUUGAUGAUGAGCUUGAGUCCUCGAGGAACCGCAAGACCAGUUGUCCAGAGUGCAGGGACUUGUGGCGCGAGCAUCGGUACACUGUCGCCUAUCCAGAUGGUAGGAAAUCCUCUCGCGGUUCUGCUGAUGGUGAUUGGUCAAGGGAGUUCUGUCCAGACUGCCCCCCAGAACGGGCGAAGAUGCCCCGGGAAGGAGCAAGAGAUCUUGGGAAGAGCAAGAAGAGCGAUAGGCGAUUGGCUGGUGAUGAACGCGAACAAAGUGGCAGCAAAAGGAAUGUCGCGAUAAGUGACACGCUCGAGUACUACGAGUACUCGAUGGAAAGCGAGAGCCAGUGCAGCGAAAAUUGCGGAUUUGGCCCGUAUGACUUAUCACUUAGGCCCCGAAACCGAGCACCCCGCCCCGGUAACGCUAAUUCAAAUAUCUUUGAUUCCCAAACCGCUACCUCCGACACUGAUAAAAAUCACCCACGGGUCAACGAUCGUCGUUAUGAUACCGUUCCACGACGCAAACGCCGUGAUUCGUCCGUUAUCAAUGCCAAUGAUGCUGCCAAUGAUGACACUGGUACGUCCUUGAAAUCUGGUUAUAAAUUGACUGACCAUCUCUCCAAAUCGUCCGUUGAUUCCGUCCGAAUCAAUUCCAAUGAUCGUACUGCAAAUUCUGAUAAUCUUCCACGAAAACGCAGUGGUGAUUACAACAGUCCUGGUGGCUCCUACGAGAAGAACACCAGGCAUCAGGUCACCGGUAAUGGCCACAAUGGGCAUCCCAAGAGAGGACAGUUCAGUAGGAGUCUCAGUAAUGCUGACGGACCGCCUGAUGAAAAAGUUGCUGACGGAAGUUUGAGUGACACCGCGGUGAGUCUCCACGUGGAAGAAGCAGCCCGCAGAGCAAGGAAAAGUUCUCCAGGUAGCAAAAGCGGAAGCGGGAGCAGCAGCGGCGGCGGAAGUGCCGUGCAAUACCAAGCCGGCUUAGGAAAAAAGAGUAAUAGCACUAGCCAGCUCUCCGCGACAGAGUGCAUCAGCGUGGUCGGAUCCAACUUGGACUCAAGGAGCUCUGGUAUUGUUACCCGUAAGCGGAACAGCACCCCCAGCAGCUUUCAGAGGUCCCAGGAGGUCGUGCCGAUGUACCAAAGGCUUGGUGCCACCAAACAACCGGGUUCGGUGGCCAGCGACACCGCCGGAUCCCUCAACUCGAUCUCGAGUUCUGAAGCAAGUUCUUGGUCUCCGUGUUUGAGAUCGACGGGCGAAGGAGGGCAACUCAGUGAAUUUAUCGACGGCCUUGGACCGGGUCAAUUAGUUGGCAGACAAGUACUCGGAGCAUCUUCACUUGGUGACAUACAGUUGGCCCUGAAUUAUACCAAGGGCUAUUUAGAAGUCGAAGUUGUUAGGGCAAGAGAUCUCCAGCCGAAACCAGGCAGUAAAGUACUUCCAGCUCCUUAUGUUAAAGUUUACUUGGUGAACGGUAAAAAAUGUAUAGCCAAAGCGAAAACGACCACAGCGAGGAAAACAUUAGAGCCUUUUUAUCAGCAGCCUCUAGCUUUUAGAGAAAAUUUCCAAGGUUGCAUUUUGCAGGUGACAGUGUGGGGUGACUACGGUCGCUUAGAAGGUAGAAAAGUAUUCAUGGGCGUCGCACAGAUAAUGCUAGACGAUCUGAAUCUCAAUGAAAUGGUGUUCGGAUGGUACAAACUCUUCGGCACCACGUCCCUGGUCAGUGGUCCUCCAUCAGUAGUUUUGUCCCGUCGAUCUUCGGCCAACUCUUUGGAUUCACUAAAACUCUAAUUAACAUAUAAUACUGAAUAAAUUGACACAUACCACACAACAAUUACACUACCAACUAUCAUAAAACUUCCAAACUUAAUAUAAUAAUAGACGUUUUUUAUCAAAGAUAAUUUUAAAAAAAGAAAUCUAAUAUCAGUAAAUAUAUGAAUGAAGCUUUAUACAAAUGUCACGUUAAUGUUUUAAAAUAAUUAAACAAAUAUAUAUAAAAAUAUAAAUAUAUAUUUGCCUUAGGCUGCUUGAUAACUAAACUGUUGAAUGUUGAAUUAAAAUUUAAUUUUUAAUAUUGAAGUUAUUAAUUAAAAUAAUUAAAAAGUUGAUAGAAGAGGGCGGCUCUGAAUACGGUUAAGUGAAACUAUUUUGUAGUAAAUCAUUUUUAAAUUGUAUCACUGAAUGCGUUUGAGGUUGACGAAUUUUAUUGAUACGUUAAUUAUUUAUUUAUUUAUUGUAUAUUAUUAACAUAAUACUUCAUUAGAAUAUAAAUAUAUAUUUUUUAUUUAUAAACAAGUUCAACACUAAAGCACAUCACAUAUCAUGUCAGAUACUAAUGUCGACUAGAACAACUAGUCUUUUAAUAAAUAAUGUAGACGUAGCGGCCAUGUAUCAGGAUGAACGCCAGAUCUAGCUUUAGUGAAAUCAAUGGAACUCGAGUGUACGUCACAUCGAUAUAAACGCAAAUAUGGUGUACUCAACAAUUCCAUCUAUAAAUUAAAUUACACAGGAAUAAAUAAAUAAUUAAAACUGAUAAAAUAGACUUAAUAAAGUUAAGUGAGUGAUUUAUUAAUUUAUAAGUGACUAGUGCGCUAAAAAGGCAUUUAAUCAUAAUAUAUUAAUAUUAUCAAUCGGUUAUCACAAAAGUGACUAAAAUAUAAUAAUAAUAAUAAUAAAAUUAAAGCGUAAAGUUUUUUUUUUAUUGCGACAGCUCGCGAAAUACAGAAUUAUUAUUAAGUGUAUACUUAAUUGGUAUAUUGUUAGAAAAAUUAAUAAUAAUAAUAAUGAAAUCGAAGAUAAAUCCAUUAACGAAUUAUCAACAAAUGAGUAAUAGAUGUAAUUGUAAAUAAUAAUUAUUAAAUAUUUAAAAUUAAAAUGUCCAACAGAAGUUUUCAAUUCUCAAAUAAAAACUUAACUAUAAUAAAGAUAAAUUAGCUUGAAAUAAUUAUAAUAAAAUGUUAGUAAUUAAUUGAAUAAUUGAAAAUUUUUAUAUUUUAAAAAUUAAUCUUUUUUUAAUAAAUUUGCUGGGUGAUUGAAUAAGAAUAUCAAUUCAAUUAGUGUUAUCUAAUCAAAUCAUAAUAAUUUUAGUAAGUCAUCUUUUUUUUUGUGUAUCUAUUGUAAAUAAUUUUACGAACUUAUGUUAUGAAUUUGUGUGGACACUAAUUGUGUGGAAUAUUGGAAUAUUUAGGUGAUAAUUAUGAUUGAUGAUAUUUACGAGUUUUGAGAAAGAUUAUGAUGAUUUAGAAGG